Molecule: ribosomal RNA, 464 nt
Filed under: Vreelandella stevensii
Lineage: Bacteria; Pseudomonadati; Pseudomonadota; Gammaproteobacteria; Oceanospirillales; Halomonadaceae
Description: partial 16S ribosomal RNA
Rfam family: Bacterial small subunit ribosomal RNA
Source: RNAcentral
CCUACGGGGGGCUGCAGUGGGGAAUAUUGGACAAUGGGGGCAACCCUGAUCCAGCCAUGCCGCGUGUGUGAAGAAGGCCCUCGGGUUGUAAAGCACUUUCAGUGAGGAAGAACGCCUGGUGGUUAAUACCCAUCAGGAAAGACAUCACUCACAGAAGAAGCACCGGCUAACUCCGUGCCAGCAGCCGCGGUAAUACGGAGGGUGCGAGCGUUAAUCGGAAUUACUGGGCGUAAAGCGCGCGUAGGUGGCUUGAUAAGCCGGUUGUGAAAGCCCCGGGCUCAACCUGGGAACGGCAUCCGGAACUGUCAAGCUAGAGUGCAGGAGAGGAAGGUAGAAUUCCCGGUGUAGCGGUGAAAUGCGUAGAGAUCGGGAGGAAUACCAGUGGCGAAGGCGGCCUUCUGGACUGACACUGACACUGAGGUGCGAAAGCGUGGGUAGCAAACAGGAUUAGUACCCUAGUAGUC